CACCAGCUGUGCACCUCACAGGUGUUCACUACCUCAUUCCGUCCUCCCAAGAGGCCCUGUCAGGCCCUUCCAAUGAGAAGUCUGAGAACCAGAGAUUGGAUGACUCACUCAGGUACAUAUGCUACUAUAAGAAGCAAAACUUUACCUCCAUAAGAACCAAGAGGAGCAGGAAUAGAGCUAUGCCUCUUCCCUUGGGAGACUUCCCUUAAGAAAUCAC
RNAcentral lists this long non-coding RNA (217 nucleotides) under Rattus norvegicus (Norway rat). RNAcentral's name for it is "long non-coding RNA NONRATT032678". The record is from RNAcentral. Lineage: Eukaryota; Metazoa; Chordata; Mammalia; Rodentia; Muridae.